Molecule: ribosomal RNA, 410 nt
Filed under: uncultured microorganism
Description: bacterial SSU rRNA
Rfam family: Bacterial small subunit ribosomal RNA
Source: RNAcentral
CAGCCGCCGCGGUAAUUCGUAGGGUGCGAGCGUUAAUCGGAUUUACUGGGCGUAAAGCGUGCGCAGGCGGCCCGUUAAGACAGGUGUGAAAUCCCUGGGCUCAACCUAGGAAUUGCGCUUGUGACUGGCGGGCUCGAGUACGGUAGAGGGGGGUGGAAUUCCUGGCGUAGCAGUGAAAUGCGUAGAGAUCAGGAGGAACACCGAUGGCGAAGGCAGCCCCCUGGGCCUGUACUGACGCUCAUGCACGAAAGCGUGGGGAGCAAACAGGAUUAGAUACCCUGUUAGUCCACGCCCUAAACGAUGGGUACUAGCCGUUUGGUGCGCGAUAGCGCUGAGUGGCGAAGCUAACGCGUGAAGUACCCCGCCUGGGGAGUACGGCCGCAAGGUUGAAACUUAAAGGAAUUGGCGGG